UAGCCUAUGGAAUCCUUUGUCACAUAGGAA
This 30-nucleotide non-coding RNA is filed under the name Mus musculus (house mouse). Lineage: Eukaryota; Metazoa; Chordata; Mammalia; Rodentia; Muridae. The record is from RNAcentral.